This 473-nucleotide long non-coding RNA is filed under the name Populus trichocarpa (black cottonwood). Its description in RNAcentral is "long non-coding RNA (PTRI_LNC003439)". The record is from RNAcentral. Lineage: Eukaryota; Viridiplantae; Streptophyta; Magnoliopsida; Malpighiales; Salicaceae.
UUCGUUUUCUCUUUUCCCCUCUCUUCCCUUUCUCCUGACAAGUUUGUUUUGGAAUUCUAUCAUGUAAUGUUAAAAUUUUUAGUGUUGAUGUUUUUGUUGGUGACCCAUGUAUUUUUUUUGGCCUAAAGCUCUAACCUUCAUAAUAAUGUGUUGUUUUUUUUUUGUUGAUGAGCCAGAUGAUUUUUUGGCCUAAAUUUUGAAGCUUUGUGACAUUUUUUUUUUGUUUCAUGUGAAAUUUCCUGAUAUUGAUUUGUUUAUUUUUCGUGUAUUUGCAGAGGUUUGGCUUGGUGGUUUGUUGAUAAGUGAAAAUGAAUUAUUAUGGAUAUGAGCAAAAGAGCGCCAUGAUAGGAGGUUGUGAGGAAAGGGAGAGGAUGAUGGUGGUGGUGGAGUCUGUGGUUUGUCCGAAGCCAAGGAGAUUGGGACUUUUAAAUCCUCCUCUUAAUGAACAAAUCAGACCUCUAAGAUUGCCUGUC